CGGACGGGUGAGUAACGCGUGGGUAACCUGCCUUGUACAGGGGAGUAACAGUUGGAAACGGCUGCUAAUACCGCAUAAGCGCACGGCAUCGCAUGAUGCAGUAGUGAAAAACUCCGGUGGUAUAAGAUGGACCCGCGUUGGAUUAGCUAGUUGGUGAGGUAACGGCCCACCAAGGCGACGAUCCAUAGCCGACCUGAGAGGGUGACCGGCCACAUUGGGACUGAGACACGGCCCAG
RNAcentral lists this ribosomal RNA (236 nucleotides) under uncultured bacterium. Its description in RNAcentral is "partial 16S ribosomal RNA". It matches the Rfam family "Bacterial small subunit ribosomal RNA", at positions 99 to 334 of the family's 1533-position model. The record is from RNAcentral.